UGCGAGAUCGAGCUGCGCCAGG
Molecule: unclassified non-coding RNA, 22 nt
Filed under: Mus musculus (house mouse)
Lineage: Eukaryota; Metazoa; Chordata; Mammalia; Rodentia; Muridae
Description: oocyte_clustered_small_RNA10662
Source: RNAcentral